Molecule: transfer RNA, 55 nt
Filed under: Stylonychia lemnae
Lineage: Eukaryota; Ciliophora; Spirotrichea; Sporadotrichida; Oxytrichidae
Rfam family: tRNA
About the family: Transfer RNA (tRNA) molecules are approximately 80 nucleotides in length. Their secondary structure includes four short double-helical elements and three loops (D, anti-codon, and T loops).
Source: Rfam by way of RNAcentral
GCGCUUGUGGUUCAGUGGUAGAAUGCAUCGUUGCCAUCGAUGCGACCCGGGUUCA